GCGGGAGUUUAUGCCCAAAGGCUCACCAAAACCCUCAGAGCAAUUAUACCAACAAAGUCUACUAACAAAGUCCUUCCAUCACAGAACAUCCUGUUAUGGCGCCAUUGAUGUUUCCUUUCAGAAACUUCUCAUUGUUCUCCCUUUCUCUCGAGUGAAUUCAGAUCAACGAUCGUGCGCUGUUGAUCACUUUUUUCGACUCAUGUUGUUGAUGACGAGCCGAUUCUUGUAAGCAUUACUCUUCUCAUUUUCGGAUUGAUUCUUACUCACAUUUCGCAUUUCGGAGUUAUGGAUUUCGAUGAAUAAUUCUCGUGAGGUUCGCGAUUUUAUACAUUCCGCAUCGUACGAUCCGAAUCAUGGAUACUUCGUUCAGCGGUAACGGUUGGUUGGAGUUAUGGAACAGAGCAUCACGUUCAAUCAGCUUGAAGCCUUGGUAUGCCCAUGGGAUUGCUGAAGCAAUCAUGCGUACUGCCAAUCUUUCUAUUCCACUGAAAGAGACGUGGAGGAGCAGCCAUGUUGGGUAAUUAUGCUUGAGGUUUUGGACAAUCUUCCAUUAUCUGAUGUACUCAGAAAAUCAAGUUUCCUCAUGGAUGGAAGUAUGGGUAGAAAAGCAACUUGAUAGGUAUGCAUGCCUCCUCGCAUUUAGUUCAAAUAGGCAGAAAACAGUAUCAGAAUGGUUAGGACCGAAUGGGGACAAUCAUCGAGUGGGCUGCAAACGCUGAAGAGCUUGGAAGUUUUCUUUCG
Molecule: long non-coding RNA, 741 nt
Organism: Cucurbita moschata (crookneck pumpkin)
Lineage: Eukaryota; Viridiplantae; Streptophyta; Magnoliopsida; Cucurbitales; Cucurbitaceae
Exons: 6
Source: RefSeq, a predicted model, not a curated record